This 869-nucleotide long non-coding RNA is filed under the name Homo sapiens (human). RNAcentral's name for it is "long independently transcribed non-coding RNA 534 (LINC00534)". The record is from RNAcentral. Lineage: Eukaryota; Metazoa; Chordata; Mammalia; Primates; Hominidae.
GUCUUUUCUGGCAGAUUACUUCUGUGAGCAACUGGGUCUCUCAGUUCUUUGGGAGCACCCUGGGAAACAGUGUGGCUAUGACUUGGAGCUGCUCACCAGUUCCAGUCAUUCUGUGGUUGAGAGCUGCUCCCUAUGGAUGUUAAUUCUUCUCUAUUUUAGAUUUUCCACAGGUGUGGGCCCCAUUAGCUCUGGCCACCUGAGAAAGCCCUCAGGCAAAGAGUCGCAGGUGAAAGCCAGCAGUUAGAGGUUCACAGAAAUGAGUGCAGAAGCAUCUUCAGUUGGAGAGCCAUUGCCUCUUGCUGUGAAAUAUUUGGGAAUCUUCAGAAACCAUGAAGAAUAACCUGCUAAAGCUGAGCUGGGACUCUGCCUGGAUAUAACUUAUGGCCUAUUCUAUAUGGAAAGUUGGUUUUCUCACAGUUCCACUCCCUUUCCAGAUAUCAGCAAAUGGCCCUCCUAGCCCAGAAGUCUCCAGAGAGGGUUUUAUUUUGUCAGUCAAGCUGGAAUGCAGUGGCGUGAACAUUGCUUACUGCAGCUUCAAUCUCCUGAGGUCAAACAAUCUUCUCACCUCAGCCUCGCAAGCAGCUAGGACUACAGGCAUGUGCCACCACGCCCCACUAAUUUUUUAAUUUUUCUUUUGUGGAGACGCAGUCUUGUUAUCUUGAACAGGCUGGUCUUGAACUCUUGGAGUCAAGCAAUCCUUCUGCCUCAGACUCUCAAAGUGCUGGGAUUACAGGCAUGAGCCACCACAUUCAGCCAGGAAAAGUUUUUGUACAUUUAAAAAAUUAUAGGAUAUUUGUGUAUAUAGCUUUGCUGGUUUGACUUCCUAGAAUAGCUCCCAGGAACACAAAGUACUUAAUUGAUUAGUAUAA